This 401-nucleotide long non-coding RNA is filed under the name Homo sapiens (human). RNAcentral describes it as "non-protein coding lnc-PLAGL2-5:1". The record is from RNAcentral. Lineage: Eukaryota; Metazoa; Chordata; Mammalia; Primates; Hominidae.
AUGUGUCUCAAGAGUGUUAUUUCUGUUCGGGGCCCAUCUACCCUGGCCAUGGCAUGAUGUCUGUCCGCAAUGAUUGCAAGGUGUUCAGAUUUUGUAAAUCUAAAUGUCAUAAAAACUUUAAAAAGAAGCACAAUCCUCACAAAGGUAGGUGGACCAAAGCAUUCUGGAAAACAGCUGGUAAAGGGCUUACAGUGGAUAAUUCAUUUGAAUUGGAAAAACAUAGAAAUGCACUUAUCAAAUAUCAGUGAGAGCUAUGGAAUAAAACUAUUGAUGCAAUGAAGAGAGUUGAAGAGAUCAAACAGAAAUGCCAAGCUAAAUUUAUAAUGAACAGACUGAAGAAACAUAAAGGGCUACGUAGAGAAGUUCAGGAUAUCAAAGAAGUCAAGAAAAACAUCCAUCUU